Molecule: long non-coding RNA, 393 nt
Filed under: Equus caballus (horse)
Lineage: Eukaryota; Metazoa; Chordata; Mammalia; Perissodactyla; Equidae
Description: lncRNA (ENSECAG00000048071.1)
Source: RNAcentral
CCCAGGACCAACUUGUUUACUGAUUGUUUUCACUUGGCACAACCAGUUAGCUAAACUUGCUUGACUAUAUGACCAGAGAGUCAUAAAAGACCCCACUGGGAAUUUACCUCCCGGUAGAUUAUCUCCUGAGGUCAAGAUUCAUUGUGCAGAUCUUGAAGGUUCAGUCUGGAGAGGAAGCCCUUGGAGAGCUAAGAAGGACCUUUUGGAGCUUGCGCAUGGGCUGUCUCUGGACCUCCAAUGCUUGCCUGCACUCUUCUCUUGCUGCACUGCAUGCAACCUCUGCCUGUGUAUUAAAGCCUUCUGUGACUCCGCCUUGUGGAUCCUGGAGCUGUUUCAGAGGCCAUUUCUGUGGAAAAACGGGACAAUAGGAAAGGAAAUUUUCUACUGAUUUUU